This 253-nucleotide ribosomal RNA is filed under the name uncultured bacterium. RNAcentral describes it as "partial 16S ribosomal RNA". It matches the Rfam family "Bacterial small subunit ribosomal RNA", at positions 524 to 776 of the family's 1533-position model. The record is from RNAcentral.
UACGUAGGGUGCAAGCGUUAUCCGGAAUUAUUGGGCGUAAAGAGCUCGUAGGCGGUUUGUCGCGUCUGCUGUGAAAACCCGAGGCUCAACCUCGGGCCUGCAGUGGGUACGGGCAGAUUAGAGUGCGGUAGGGGAGAUUGGAAUUCCUGGUGUAGCGGUGGAAUGCGCAGAUAUCAGGAGGAACACCGAUGGCGAAGGCAGAUCUCUGGGCCGUAACUGACGCUGAGGAGCGAAAGCGUGGGGAGCGAACAGG